This is a non-coding RNA of Streptomyces bungoensis, 75 nucleotides long. It matches the Rfam family "ASpks TB sRNA". Lineage: Bacteria; Bacillati; Actinomycetota; Actinomycetes; Kitasatosporales; Streptomycetaceae. The record is from Rfam.
CUUCAGGGAUCCCAGCCACAGCGGGCGGUCCGCGGGCCGGUCCUGGCCGUAGACGGCGAUCAGGGCCUGGGCCUC